AUGUUCUCAGUGACCAUUCUGCUGCUUGGAAUGCUCUUAACAGUGAGAGGAACUGGAGCCCAGUCAGUGACCCAGCCUGACGACCACAUCAGUGUCUCUGAAGAAACCUCUCUGGAGCUGAAGUGUAACUAUUCUAGUGGAAAUCUCUAUUUCUUCUGGUAUGUCCAGUACCCCAGCCAAGGCCUCCAGCUUCUCCUUAGGUACUCUUCAGGGCCCACCUUGGUUAAUGGCAUCAAAGGUUUUGAGGCUGAACUUAAGAAGAAUGAAACCUCCUUCCACCUGAGGAAAUCAUCAGCCCAUUUGGGUGACUCAGCUGUGUACUUCUGUGCUGCGAGUGACACAGUGACUGAGACUGCAGGGGGAGCUGAACACAAACCUCAUGAGACACUGGAGUUUUCAGAGAUUCAAGGACACAGCUCAACCUGUUUUUAG
Molecule: non-coding RNA, 432 nt
Organism: Equus quagga
Lineage: Eukaryota; Metazoa; Chordata; Mammalia; Perissodactyla; Equidae
Source: the annotation of a RefSeq genome assembly